AUGAGGAGAGGUGUUGAUAUCCUUUGCGUCCAAGAAACCAAAUGGAGAGGACAGAAGGCGAAGGAGGUGGAAGAUACCGGCUUCAAGCUGUGGUACACGGGGACGGCUGCAAACAGAAAUGGCGUAGGCAUCUUGAUCAACAAGAGCCUCAAGUAUGGAGUGGUAGACGUCAGGAGACGUGGGGACCGGAUUAUCCUGGUCAAGCUGGUAGCUGAGGACUUGGUUCUCAAUGUUAUCAGCGCAUAUGCCCCGCAAGUAGGCCACAAUGAGAACACCAAGAGGGAGUUCUGGGAAGGCUUGGAAGACAUGGUUAGGAGUGUACCGAUUGGUGAGAAGCUCUUCAUAGGAGGAGACCUCAAUGGCCACGUGGGUACAUCUAACACAGGUUUUGAAGGGGCGCAU
RNAcentral lists this ribosomal RNA (402 nucleotides) under Triticum aestivum (bread wheat). Its description in RNAcentral is "partial small subunit ribosomal RNA". The record is from RNAcentral. Lineage: Eukaryota; Viridiplantae; Streptophyta; Magnoliopsida; Poales; Poaceae.